Bradysia coprophila is the source of this 122-nucleotide small nuclear RNA. RefSeq annotates it as U5 spliceosomal RNA. Lineage: Eukaryota; Metazoa; Arthropoda; Insecta; Diptera; Sciaridae. The record is from RefSeq and is a predicted model, not a curated record.
ACUCUUGCUUCUCUUCAGAUAUCGAAUAAAUCUUUCACCUUUUACUAAAGAUUUCCGUGGAGAAGAGCGCUCUAAUGAUCAUGAACUCAAUUUUUGGGAUCGGCAUUGUAUUGUGUGUAGAU